AGGGAGAGACCUGAAAAAUGCAAAGAAUGAAAGGACAGGGAGAGGGAGGAGGUGGGACAGGGUGAGAGAGGAGGGGGAAUAAGGAUGAGAGAAGGAGUGAUAUGUGUGGGAUACAGUGAUGGGGGGGACAGGAGAGAGAAUGGACUGAAGCAGAAUAAAGUAAAGGUUCUGAAGUGGCCAUCUCAGUCUCCUGACCUCAAUAUCAUUGAGCCACUCUUGGGAGAUCUCAAACGUGCAGUUCAUGCAAGACAGCCCAAGAAUUUACAGGAACUGGAGGCUUUUUGCCAAGAAGAAUGGGCAGCUUUACCAUCUGAGAAAAUAAAGAGCCUCAUCCACAACUACCACAAAAGACUUCAAGCUGUCAUUGAUGUUAAAGGGGGCAAUACACGGUAUUAAGAACUGGGAUUAUUCAAAUGCUCUACCCAACGUUCUCCAUUUAAUAAACCAACUUAAGGUAUUCUCAGGCCUUACUAUAAAUUGGAACAUGAGCAUUCCAAGGCACAUGGUUUUUACGGAGAGACUAUGCAGACAUUUCUACUGGGAUAGGCAUACCGUGUUGAAGAUGAUUGGAAGGCUGUAGAUGACAAAAUCAUGGUAACUGAAGAUGGCUUUGACAAAAGAGGAGAGAAUGGAGGUCAUUUUGAUGUCUGGAGAACGAAGUUUCCAUUUCAUAGCUGCAGAAUUUAACAACCGGCACCUAGAAAGACCUCCAAUUUCACAUAACACUGUCAGGUGCCUAAUUUCCAAAUUCCAAGAAACUGGGACUGUGGCUGACAAGUCACGGAGUGGUCAUCCAAAAAGUGCUACUGACAAGACAACCUCAACAAUGGUUUUGGCAUCCUUCGGGAAGAGCCCACAAUGCAGCACAACGCCCACACAUUAAAUGACUGUCCAUUAUGGAAAACAGGUCAGCCUGUAAUUUCAACAAAAAAAGUGUUAUAACUUUUGAACCAUUUCCAGCUGGAAGGCACCAGACAUUUAGGUACAUUAUGCAUGUGUACUCUGAGUCUUGCUGUGUGCUUGGUGUUGUCCGUUACACCAUGGAAGAACUGUAUAAGAUAAGCAGGAAGGUAGUAGGAGUUAAACAACUGUUAUCAAUUUAAUGAGGUGAUGGACAUAAAAGUCUUGACGCAUUUGAAUAAUUUGCUUGAAGGUGGGUACUAGGCAGCAAUACAGCUCUAUGCCAUGCAAUCCUUUAUCCAGAAACAAUAGUCUUACUUGAGGGUAUCCCCUGUUCUAUUGUCACUUGAAGCUCCUUUUGAGGAACAUGAUGCCUAAGGCAACACAGGUGGUAAAGGGUGGAGAUCAGACCUCUACAGUUUGACAUGCCAAGACUUCUAAUGCAAGGGGUUGAGCCGGGACUAUAUUAAGUGUCCUAGAGUAAAGAAAGUUACACAUUUUUUUAAGUUUUGGUCCAAGCUGUUGGUACGGAGGUGAAACUGGACACAAUCAUUGAACUUUUGAAAGGACAGCAGAUGUGCAUUAUCUAGAAGAAAUUCCAUGUUGCAUUUGGCCCACUCAUUGGGUAAAAUUCAAAUGUUUGAAAAGUCAGUUGGGUGUCUGUUUUUUCCUGUCUAUUAGAUAGAAAAAAAAGACUCCCAACUGUCUUUUCAAACAUUUGAAUCUCCCCCAUUAAAUGCUUUAUGGUCAAGGAUGUGGCAAAGUCAAGAUAGUGGGACAGUUGCUUAAAGAGUCCCUAUGUACAGUGCUCUGGGUAACAGAUACAUUAGUGGGGGCAGGGUCCUCCCCUAAGGCUUGUACUUCUCUAAUGGUAAGGGGGCUGUGGAAUGUUCGCCUGUAGAUGCAACUAGCAUUAUGCUGAAAAGAGCUGGGGUCCUAAAUACCUAUUCUGUGUAGAGUGUGCAGAAAUUAGGAUGCUUUGAGUCGCAAAAGUUAUUGUCCAAAUAAAAAAUAGAAUCAUCUGUCUUGA
Pseudophryne corroboree (corroboree frog) is the source of this 1930-nucleotide long non-coding RNA. RefSeq lists it as uncharacterized. The record is from RefSeq and is a predicted model, not a curated record. NCBI's taxonomy places the organism in Eukaryota, Metazoa, Chordata, Amphibia, Anura, Myobatrachidae. The transcript has 5 exons.